GGAGCCGGCCAGACAGUCGCGUCAUCCCUUCGGGGGUGCCGAGGAAAGUCCGGGCUCCAUAGGGCAAGGUGCCAGGUAACGCCUGGGCGGCGCAAGCCGACGGAAAGUGCAACAGAAAGAUACCGCCUACGUCUUCUUCGGAAGGCCGGUAAGGGUGAAAUGGUGCGGUAAGAGCGCACCGCGAGUCUGGCAACAGACCGGCACGGCAAACCCCACCUGGAGCAAGACCAAAUAGGGAUCCUUUGGCGCGGCCCGCGUUGGAUCCGGGUAGGUUGCUUGAGCGUUGCGGUGAC
This 293-nucleotide RNase P RNA is filed under the name Stenotrophomonas maltophilia. RNAcentral's name for it is "partial bacterial RNase P". It matches the Rfam family "Bacterial RNase P class A", at positions 1 to 296 of the family's 367-position model. From Rfam's summary of the family: Ribonuclease P (RNase P) is a ubiquitous endoribonuclease, found in archaea, bacteria and eukarya as well as chloroplasts and mitochondria. Its best characterised activity is the generation of mature 5'-ends of tRNAs by cleaving the 5'-leader elements of precursor-tRNAs. Lineage: Bacteria; Pseudomonadati; Pseudomonadota; Gammaproteobacteria; Lysobacterales; Lysobacteraceae. The record is from RNAcentral.